Molecule: ribosomal RNA, 887 nt
Filed under: uncultured Methylophaga sp.
Lineage: Bacteria; Pseudomonadati; Pseudomonadota; Gammaproteobacteria; Thiotrichales; Piscirickettsiaceae
Description: bacterial SSU rRNA
Rfam family: Bacterial small subunit ribosomal RNA
Source: RNAcentral
CCUACACAUGCAAGUCGAACGGCAGCAUAAGAGAGCUUGCUCUCUUGAUGGCGAGUGGCGGACGGGUGAGUAAUGUAUAGGGAUCUGCCCAGUAGUGGGGGACAACAGCCGGAAACGGCUGCUAAUACCGCAUACGCUCUACGGAGGAAAGCGGGGGACCUUUCGGGGCCUCGCGCUAUUGGAUGAACCUAUAUCAGAUUAGCUAGUUGGUGGGGUAAUGGCCUACCAAGGCAACGAUCUGUAGCUGGUCUGAGAGGAUGAUCAGCCACACUGGGACUGAGACACGGCCCAGACUCCUACGGGAGGCAGCAGUGGGGAAUAUUGGACAAUGGGGGAAACCCUGAUCCAGCAAUGCCGCGUGUGUGAAGAAGGCCUUCGGGUUGUAAAGCACUUUCAAUAGGGAGGAAAAGCUAUGCGUUAAUAGCGUAUAGCCGUGACGUUACCUAUAGAAGAAGCACCGGCUAACUCCGUGCCAGCAGCCGCGGUAAUACGGAGGGUGCAAGCGUUAAUCGGAAUUACUGGGCGUAAAGCGCGCGUAGGCGGUUUGCUAAGUCAGAUGUGAAAUCCCCGGGCUCAACCUGGGAAUGGCAUUUGAGACUGGUAGGCUAGAAUGUGGUAGAGGUGAGUGGAAUUCCAGGUGUAGCGGUGAAAUGCGUAGAGAUCUGGAGGAACAUCAGUGGCGAAGGCGACUCACUGGGCCAUUAUUGACGCUGAGGUGCGAAAGCGUGGGUAGCAAACAGGAUUAGAUACCCUGGUAGUCCACGCCCUAAACGAUGUCAACUAGGUGUAUGGGAAAUUUAUUUCUUGUGUAUCGAAGCUAACGCGAUAAGUUGACCGCCUGGGGAGUACGGUCGCAAGACUAAAACUCAAAUGAAUUGACGGGGGCC